RNAcentral lists this transfer RNA (89 nucleotides) under Candidatus Uhrbacteria bacterium. RNAcentral's name for it is "tRNA-Ser". It matches the Rfam family "tRNA". From Rfam's summary of the family: Transfer RNA (tRNA) molecules are approximately 80 nucleotides in length. Their secondary structure includes four short double-helical elements and three loops (D, anti-codon, and T loops). Further hydrogen bonds mediate the characteristic L-shaped molecular structure. tRNAs have two regions of fundamental functional importance: the anti-codon, which is responsible for specific mRNA codon recognition, and the 3' end, to which the tRNAs corresponding amino acid is attached (by aminoacyl-tRNA synthetases). tRNAs cope with the degeneracy of the genetic code in two manners: having more than one tRNA (with a specific anti-codon) for a particular amino acid; and 'wobble' base-pairing, i.e. permitting non-standard base-pairing at the 3rd anti-codon position. The record is from RNAcentral. Lineage: Bacteria; Candidatus Uhriibacteriota.
GGAGGGGUCGCAUAGUUGGUCUAGUGCGCGCGACUCGAAAUCGCGUAACCCGCAAGGGUUCGAGGGUUCGAAUCCCUCCCCCUCCGCCA